RNAcentral lists this ribosomal RNA (484 nucleotides) under uncultured bacterium. Its description in RNAcentral is "partial 16S ribosomal RNA". It matches the Rfam family "Bacterial small subunit ribosomal RNA", at positions 30 to 507 of the family's 1533-position model. The record is from RNAcentral.
AUUGAACGCUGGCGGCAGGCCUAACACAUGCAAGUCGAGCGGAUGAAGGGAGCUUGCUCCUGGAUUCAGCGGCGGACGGGUGAGUAAUGCCUAGGAAUCUGCCUGGUAGUUGGGGAUAACGUCCGUAAACGGGCGCUAAUACCGCAUACGUCCUGAGGGAGAAAGUGGGGGAUCUUCGGACCUCACGCUAUCAGAUGAGCCUAGGUCGGAUUAGCUAGUUGGUGGGGUAAAGGCCUACCAAGGCGACGAUCCGUAACUGGUCUGAGAGGAUGAUCAGUCACACUGGAACUGAGACACGGUCCAGACUCCUACGGGAGGCAGCAGUAGGGAAUAUUCGACAAUGGGCGAAAGCUUGAUCCAGCCAUGCCGCGUGUGUGAAGAAGGUCUUCGGAUUGUAAAGCACUUUAAGUUGGGAGGAAGAGCAGUAAGUUAAUACCUUGCUGUUUUGACGUUACCAACAGAAUAAGCACCGGCUAACUUCGUG